UACGUAGGGGGCAAGCGUUGUCCGGAUUUAUUGGGCGUAAAGAGCGUGUAGGCGGCCGUACAGGUCAGCUGUGAAAACUCGAGGCUCAACCUCGAGACGUCGGUUGAAACCGUACGGCUAGAGUCCGGAAGAGGAGAGUAGAAUUCCCGGUGUAGCGGUGAAAUGCGCAGAUAUCGGGAAGAACACCCGUGGCGAAGGCGGCUCUCUGGGACGGUACUGACGCUGAGGCACGAAAGCGUGGGGAGCGAACAGG
This 253-nucleotide ribosomal RNA is filed under the name uncultured bacterium. RNAcentral describes it as "partial 16S ribosomal RNA". It matches the Rfam family "Bacterial small subunit ribosomal RNA", at positions 524 to 776 of the family's 1533-position model. The record is from RNAcentral.